UAUAUGAGUUGCAAAAUAUUUUUAUGAAUUUUCUGAAAAAAAUGGAGAAAAAAUGAAUAAGAAUCAAAGUAAAUGAAAAUAAAAAUAAAAAUAAAAAUAAAAUAGAAACUAAACAAAAGAAAUGGCGCACCAUCUGCUAGAAUUUUAAAAUUGCGCGUCUCAAGCUGGAAUUGGUCAGAUUCAAAUGUUUGGAACCAAAACGCACGAAC
This 209-nucleotide long non-coding RNA is filed under the name Lathyrus oleraceus (garden pea). Its description in RNAcentral is "Pisum sativum (pea) long non-coding RNA (PSAT_LNC031866)". Lineage: Eukaryota; Viridiplantae; Streptophyta; Magnoliopsida; Fabales; Fabaceae. The record is from RNAcentral.